RNAcentral lists this transfer RNA (73 nucleotides) under Fasciola hepatica (liver fluke). It matches the Rfam family "tRNA". Rfam says of the family: Transfer RNA (tRNA) molecules are approximately 80 nucleotides in length. Their secondary structure includes four short double-helical elements and three loops (D, anti-codon, and T loops). The record is from Rfam by way of RNAcentral. Lineage: Eukaryota; Metazoa; Platyhelminthes; Trematoda; Plagiorchiida; Fasciolidae.
ACCGCGACAGCUCAGUUGGCAGAGCAUCUGCCCGGCGUGCGGAGAUUCGCCGGUUCGAUUCCGGCUCGCGGCG